This 1160-nucleotide ribosomal RNA is filed under the name uncultured marine group III euryarchaeote. RNAcentral's name for it is "bacterial SSU rRNA". It matches the Rfam family "Archaeal small subunit ribosomal RNA", at positions 248 to 1414 of the family's 1478-position model. The record is from RNAcentral. Lineage: Archaea; Methanobacteriati; Thermoplasmatota; Thermoplasmata; Candidatus Thermoprofundales.
CCUGACUAGCCAGCGACGGGUACGGGGNGUGAGAGCACUUNCCCGGAGAUGGUUUNUGAGACACGAAACCAGGCCCUACGGGGCGCAGCAGGCGCGAAAACUUCGCAAUGCGGGAAACCGUGACGAGGGAACUCCAAGUGUCUAUGCAAUGCAUAGACUGUUUUUCAGCNUAAAUCGCUGUUAGAGUAAGGGGUGGGUAAGACCGGUGCCAGCCGCCGCGGUAACACCGGCACCCCGAGUGGUAGCCNCUAUUAUUGGGCCUAAAGCGUUCGUAGCCGGUUUGGUAAAUUCUUGGGUAAAUCGUACCGCUUAACGGUGCGGAUUCCGGGGACACUACCAGACUUGAGACUGGGGGAGAUCAGAGGUACUUGCGGGGGAGCGGUGAAAUGUUGUAAUCCCGCAGGGACCACCAGUGGCGAAGGCGUCUGAUCAGAACGGUUCUGACGGUGAGGAACGAAACCCUGGGGCGCAAACGGGAUUAGAUACCCCGGUAGUCCAGGGCGUAAACGCUGCUGACUUGGUGUUGGAGAUCCUACGAGGGUGUCCAGUGCUGGCGCGAAGGUAUUAAGUCAGCCGCCUGGGGAGUACGGUCGCAAGACUGAAACUUAAAGGAAUUGGCGGGGGAGCACUGCAACGUGUGGAGCGUGCGGUUUAAUUGGAUUCAACGCCGGAAAACUCACCGGGGGCGACGGUUACAUGAAGGCCAAGCUGAUGACUUUGCCUGAUUUUCCGAGAGGUGGUGCAUGGCCGCCGUCAGUUCGUACCGUAAGGCGUUCUGUUAAGUCAGAUAACGAACGAGACCUCCGUCACCAUUUGCUAUUCUCUUCUCCGGAAGGGGAGCACUAUGGUGGUACCGCCGCUGUUAAAGCGGAGGAAGGAGGGGGCAACGGUAGGUCAGUAUGCCCCGAAUCUCCCGGGCUACACGCGCGCUACAAAGGUUGGGACAAUGGGCUUCAACACCGAAAGGUGAAGGCAAUCCCGAAACCUAAUCGUAAUUCGGAUUGAGGGCUGCAAUUCGCCCUCAUGAAGCUGGAAUACGUAGUAAUCGCGGGUCAACAUCCCGCGGUGAAUAUGCCCCUGCUCCUUGCACACACCGCCCGUCAAACCACCUUANUUGGGUCUGGACGAGGGUUUGUCUUCUGACACGCUCGAAUCUGGGU